RNA transcript from Otolemur garnettii (small-eared galago), 1270 nucleotides. It is a transcript of the gene named medium-chain specific acyl-CoA dehydrogenase, mitochondrial pseudogene, with no coding region annotated. NCBI's taxonomy places the organism in Eukaryota, Metazoa, Chordata, Mammalia, Primates, Galagidae. The record is from RefSeq and is a predicted model, not a curated record. The transcript has a single exon.
CAGCAUGGCAGUGGGGUUCAGGCGGAGCUGUGGGAUCCUGAGAAGUAUUUCCCAUUUUGGCUGGAGAUCACAACAUACAAAAGCUAUCCCAAAACAUGAACCAGGAUUAGGAUAUAGUUUUCAUUUCACUGAAUAGCAGAAAGAAUUUCAAGCUACUGCUCGUAAAUUUGCCAGAGAGGAAAUAAUACCAGUUGAUGCAGAAUAUGAUAAAACUGGUGAAUACCCUGUCUCCCUAAUUACAAGAGCUUGGGAACUCAGUUUAAUGAAUAUACACAUUCCAUAGAGUUGUGGAGGUCUCAGACUUGGAACUUUUGAUGCUUGUUUAAUAACUGAAGAAUUGGCUUAUGGAUGCACUGGGGUUCAGAUUGCUAUUGAAGCAAAUUCUUUGGGACAAAUGCCUGUUAUUAUUGCUGGAAAUGAUCAGCAAAAAAAGAAGUAUUAGGGGAGAAUGACUAAAGAGCCAUUGAUGUGUGCCUACUGUGUAACAGAUCCUGAGCAGGCUCUGAUGUAGCUGGUUUGAAGACCAAAGCAGAAAAGAAAGGAGAUGAGUAUAUUAUUAAUGGUCAGAAGAUGUGCAUAACCAAUGGAGGAAAAGCUAAUGGGUAUUUUCUUACUGGCACGUUCUGAUCCAGAUCCUAAGGCUCCUGCUGGCAAAGCCUUUACUGGGUUUAUUGUGGAAGCAGAUACCCCAGGAAUACAGAUUGGAAGAAAGGAAUUAAACAUGGGCCAGUGAUGUUCAGAUACUAGAGGAAUUGUCUUUGAAGAUGUGAAAGUGCCUAAGGAAAAUGUUUUAAUUGGUGAAGGAGCUGGUUUCAAAAUUGCAAUGGGAGUUUUUGAUAAAACCAGACCUCCAGUAGCAGCUGGUGCUGUUGGAUUAGCACAAAGAGCUUUGGAUGAAGCUACCAAGUAUGCCCUGGAAAGGAAAACUUUUGGAAAGCCAAUUGUAGAGCACCAAGGGAUAACAUUUCUGCUGGCUGAAAUGGCAAUGAAAGAUGAACUAGCUAGAUUGAGUUACCAGAGAGCAGCCUGGAAGGUUGAUUCUGGUCACUGAAAUACCUGUUAUGCUUCUAUUGCAAAGGCAUUUGCUGGAGAUAUUGCAAAUCAGGUAGCUACUGAUGCUGUGCAGAUUUUUGGAGGCAACGGAUUUAAUACAGAAUAUCCUGUAGAGAAACUAAUGAGGGAUGCCAAGAUCUAUCAGAUUUAUGAAAGUACUACACAAAUUCAAAGGCUUAUUAUAGCCUGAGAACACAUUGGCAAGUAUAAAAACUAA